This 693-nucleotide ribosomal RNA is filed under the name uncultured Bacteroidales bacterium. RNAcentral describes it as "bacterial SSU rRNA". It matches the Rfam family "Bacterial small subunit ribosomal RNA", at positions 32 to 715 of the family's 1533-position model. The record is from RNAcentral. Lineage: Bacteria; Pseudomonadati; Bacteroidota; Bacteroidia; Bacteroidales.
AACGCUAGCUACAGGCUUAACACAUGCAAGUCCAGGGGAAGCAUGGUCUUAGCUUGCUAAGGCCGAUGGCGACCGGCGCACGGGUGAGUAACACGUAUCCAACCUGCCCCUGACUCGGGGAUAGCCUUUCGAAAGAAAGAUUAAUACCCGAUGGCAUAGUUCUUCCGCAUGGUAGAACUAUUAAAGAAUUUCGGUCAUCGAUGGGGAUGCGUUCCAUUAGGUUGUUGGCGGGGUAACGGCCCACCAAGCCUUCGAUGGAUAGGGGUUCUGAGAGGAAGGUCCCCCACAUUGGAACUGAGACACGGUCCAAACUCCUACGGGAGGCAGCAGUGAGGAAUUUUGGUCAAUGGACGAGAGUCUGAACCAGCCAAGUAGCGUGAAGGAUGACUGCCCUAUGGGUUGCCAACUUCUUUUAUACGGGAAUAAAGUGAGGCACGCGUGCCUUUUUGUAUGUACCGUAUGAAUAAGGAUCGGCUAACUCCGUGCCAGCAGCCGCGGUAAUACGGAGGAUCCAAGCGUUAUCCGGAUUUAUUGGGUUUAAAGGGAGCGUAGGCGGACGCUUAAGUCAGUUGUGAAAGUUUGCGGCUCAACCGUAAAAUUGCAGUUGAUACUGGGUGUCUUGAGUACAGUAGAGGCAGGCGGAAUUCGUGGUGUAGCGGUGAAAUGCUUAGAUAUCACGAAGAACUCCGAUUG